This 700-nucleotide ribosomal RNA is filed under the name uncultured marine eukaryote. RNAcentral describes it as "SSU rRNA". It matches the Rfam family "Eukaryotic small subunit ribosomal RNA", at positions 618 to 1322 of the family's 1831-position model. The record is from RNAcentral.
GUUAGAACGCUCGUAGUCGGAUUUCGGGGCGAGCCUUCCGGUCUGCCGAUGGGUAUGCACUGGUCGGGUCGUCCUUCCUUCCGGAGACCGUCCCUACUCUUAACUGAGCGGGGGCGGGAGACGGAAUUUUUACUUUGAAAAAAUCAGAGUGUUUCAAGCAGGCAGCUCGCUCUUGCAUGGAUUAGCAUGGGAUAAUGAAAUAGGACUUUGGUGCUAUUUUGUUGGUUUCGAACACCGAAGUAAUGAUGAGAAGGGACAGUCAGGGGCACUCGUAUUCCGCCGAGAGAGGUGAAAUUCUCAGACCAGCGGAAGACGAACCACUGCGAAAGCAUUUGCCAGGGAUGUUUUCACUGAUCAAGAACGAAAGUUAGGGGAUCGAAGACGAUCAGAUACCGUCGUAGUCUUAACCAUAAACCAUGCCGACUAGGGAUUGGGGGAUGUUCACUGAUUGACUUCCUCAGCACCUUACGGGAAACUAAAGUCUUUGGGUUCCGGGGGGAGUAUGGUCGCAAGGCUGAAACUUAAAGGAAUUGACGGAAGGGCACCACCAGGUGUGGAGCCUGCGGCUUAAUUUGACUCAACACGGGGAAACUUACCAGGUCCAGACAUUGUGAGGAUUGACAGAUUGAGAGCUCUUUCUUGAUUCGAUGGGUGGUGGUGCAUGGCCGUUCUUAGUUGGUGGAGUGAUUUGUCUGGUUAA